RNAcentral lists this long non-coding RNA (2643 nucleotides) under Mus musculus (house mouse). Its description in RNAcentral is "long non-coding RNA chr16:91688891-91691534". The record is from RNAcentral. Lineage: Eukaryota; Metazoa; Chordata; Mammalia; Rodentia; Muridae.
GCUUCCGGCCGGGCGCGCGCAGCUCGCGGCUCUCCUGCUGCGAGGUCGGCGUCGCUGAGAACGCGACGGCGGCGCGCGGCACCCGGUAGGGCUCGGAAAAGGGAUUAACAGUACCAACUCGGCAGCGGGCGUAGUGUCAGCCCCGGGUACGGAGCAUGAAUGCACAGCAAACAACACAUUGAUUGGUGGUGAUGGGCAGUUACUUCUCUCCGUGAGAAGCCGCAAUAUCAUUCUGAGAGAGACGGUGAUGGGCCGAGCUCAACACAGUACCCACGAGGGGGAAAUGUCCGCCAGCUUCAGGCUAGCCGCAGGCCAACUCUUCCACCCUUGUCCCCAGUGCCCGACCACCGCAGCCCUCUAUGCAAAUGCCGUCACUACUACAGGACCAGGUACUAUGAUUCCGUAUGAUCUCGGAGAAAUUCAGAGUGAAUGAAUAUUUAAAAACAUUUUAAAUGCCAGUGGAUUAGAUACUUUGAAGUCGGAAAGUACAAAUGCUAAAAUAAUGGCAUCAACGGUUUGUUAAGGAAGGUGUUGAGAAUGAAGUUGAUAACAAAAUCAAAUGACGUUUGGUAUAGCAAAAGCAUGUGACAGAUGUAUUUGCUAGAAUAGUGUAGCUUUUGCUGAAAGCAGUUUUCUUAAUGGAAAGAAUUUUAUAGCAGAGGCAAAGUGUACAGAUACAAUAACUAAAAGAAGCUUUUGGAAUGUCCCCUUCAGAUGGUAAAAAAAUUAUCUGGAUUGUUUGCACAUUAAUUUUGGAAGUAUUUUUCAAAUAUGUCAAAUAACCAAACAUCUUACUGUGGCAGGAAAACAGGCUUAAAAAUAUAAAAUCUUGCUUUAUCGUCCUUGGUUUUUCUCAACAAUUUCCAAAGAAAACUGGCUUCCCCCACUGGUGUGGGUGCAUCCGACUGAGAUCAGGGAAGAGAAUUAAAAUUGAACGACUUGCUUUUUUCUUUCUUGAUUUUUCUGAACAACUUCCAUGGAAACCUUUGCCUCAUACAGUGGGAUGGGCUCAUCGAGCAGAGGCCUGAGGAGGGAAAUGAUUCGAGAUGUCAGGCACAGGCACAGAGGAGCACAGCACGCAGGAUGCAGUAGACCACACAUUUGCUUAUUUUCCUUUAUCUAACACAAGCAGCUCGAGCCUUUAAUCCCAGCACUGGCGAGGCAGAGGCAGGUGAACCUCUGCAAGUUGCUGGUCAGCCAGCCUGAGCUAGAUAGCUAUCUUAAAAAGAAAAAUCCAAACAGAAAUUACAAAUGCAUUCAUUAAUAUUUCUGUGGCUUAAAGAAGUAGUAAUUUCCCCCCUUUUCUUUCUUUUUUAAAACUGGGUUUGUCUUGUUAGCUAGCCCAGUAUGGCCUCAGACUCAUGACUCUUAGCCUUCCAAGUGCCUUGAAUACAGCUGUGUGCCACAACACUGGGCUAAAAGUGUUUAGGUUUUGAAAGAAAAAAUAUACUACUCAGUCCCUUUAUCUAAUUCUUACUUUAUAAUUGAUAUAAAAUCCCAAUUUAAACAACCUUGUCAAGCUCUGAAUUAUUUCAAAUUCUUUGGCUAGAGGGGAAGGAGAAAGGAGAGACACACAACAGAAUGGGGGUAGGGGUGUGGGGGAGAAAAAGCACAAGAUCCUCUCUCUGUGGCAAUCCUCACAGGUGCACAAGCAGACACAUUUUGAGAAACAUGAAAGAACAGCUAUUUGUCUACAGUGAAUUAAAAAAAAUAUAUACAAGUACUAGAUAUACCAUAAAAUUGGAAUGAAUACAAACUCUUUAUGUCUUUGAGAAUUGAAAAAUGAUGAUUUAGUUUUUUGUUUUAGCAUACCUGAAAACACCAGCUGAUAACUUCUCCAUCACAUCUUUUAAGAUACGUAAAUGGAAGGAUUGUUAAGGUUCAACUUAGCAGAGAGGGGUAAAGAAACCAUUCAAGAUGCUGGGCAGGACUCCUUUUUCUUUAUAUAUAGCUUUGCACUUUCAAAUUCAAAGUGGCACCACAGCUACUAAAACUGUCAGUCACUGCUAGAGCAACGGGAUGAUUAGCAGUAUCUGAGGUGUGACAGGAACACAAGCGCUGGAAGGCGAGUGGUAAGGACAGCCAGCCAGCCAGCCAGCCAGUCAGCACGGAGCUGGUCAGGGGUGCCAUGGUCUUCUUCACUUAAGCAUUAUGCACGCGGUAUAGUCAGCAUUUCAGCUCUCACAGGGAGUUAACAUUCAUCAGUUGAUCCGGUUGGUAACAGGUUCAACUUGUUUCCAUAAAUUCUUUUAUUUGUUUCAAAAAUGAGAAAAAAAAACAAGUUAAUAUGCAUCUAUUUGUGGCAGUUUUAAUGAAAAAUGUCCCCCACCGGUUCCUGAGUCUGAAGAAUCAGCCCCGGUUGGUGUUAGAGAAGUUAUGGAGCCUUUAGAAGGUGCAUCCUUGUUGGAGGAAGCGCUUCACCGGGGCAGGCUUUGAUGGUCUAUGGCCUGGCCUCAUCCCUGCUUACUGCUCGCUCUCUCUCCCUCUCUCUCACCUAUCUUGAUGACAAGGCUUCCCAGCCAUUAUGGAACUGUAGGCCCAACUGAACCCUUCCAUAAACUGCUUUUGGUCAUGGUGCUUGCCGUAGCAACAAAAAUGUAACUAACAUACUAUGUUACUAGCAAUCAAUAGUAUAUCCAUAUU